This 843-nucleotide ribosomal RNA is filed under the name Lactiplantibacillus plantarum. RNAcentral's name for it is "bacterial SSU rRNA". It matches the Rfam family "Bacterial small subunit ribosomal RNA", at positions 63 to 886 of the family's 1533-position model. Lineage: Bacteria; Bacillati; Bacillota; Bacilli; Lactobacillales; Lactobacillaceae. The record is from RNAcentral.
CGAACUCUGGUAUUGAUUGGUGCUUGCAUCAUGAUUUACAUUUGAGUGAGUGGCGAACUUGGUGAGUAACACGUGGGAAACCUGCCCAGAAGCGGGGGAUAACACCUGGAAACAGAUGCUAAUACCGCAUAACAACUUGGACCGCAUGGUCCGAGUUUGAAAGAUGGCUUCGGCUAUCACUUUUGGAUGGUCCCGCGGCGUAUUAGCUAGAUGGUGGGGUAACGGCUCACCAUGGCAAUGAUACGUAGCCGACCUGAGAGGGUAAUCGGCCACAUUGGGACUGAGACACGGCCCAAACUCCUACGGGAGGCAGCAGUAGGGAAUCUUCCACAAUGGACGAAAGUCUGAUGGAGCAACGCCGCGUGAGUGAAGAAGGGUUUCGGCUCGUAAAACUCUGUUGUUAAAGAAGAACAUAUCUGAGAGUAACUGUUCAGGUAUUGACGGUAUUUAACCAGAAAGCCACGGCUAACUACGUGCCAGCAGCCGCGGUAAUACGUAGGUGGCAAGCGUUGUCCGGAUUUAUUGGGCGUAAAGCGAGCGCAGGCGGUUUUUUAAGUCUGAUGUGAAAGCCUUCGGCUCAACCGAAGAAGUGCAUCGGAAACUGGGAAACUUGAGUGCAGAAGAGGACAGUGGAACUCCAUGUGUAGCGGUGAAAUGCGUAGAUAUAUGGAAGAACACCAGUGGCGAAAGCGGCUGUCUGGUCUGUAACUGACGCUGAGGCUCGAAAGUAUGGGUAGCAACAGAUUAGAUACCUGGUAGUCCAUACCGUAACGAUGAUGCUAGUGUGAGGUUUCGCCCUUCAGUGCUGCAGCUACGCAUAAGCAUCCGCCUGGGGAGUACGGC